GAACCCUAUUAGCUGCCUGGCGCAAAUUCAACAGGCCAAAAAGGAAAAGGAGCCAGAUUAUGUUUUGCUUUCAGAAAGAGGAAUGCCUCGAUGUCGAGAAUUUGUGAUGUAUAUGAAGGUAGGCAAUGAAGCUGCUACAGGAACGGGACCUAAUAAAAAGGCCAAAAAAAAAAAAAAGUGUUGCAGUAGCAAUGCUAUUACAACUUGGUUAUAAAGCAUCCAUUAAUCUUCAGGAUCAACUUGAGAAGACAGGGGAAAACAAAGGAUGGAGUGAUCCAACGCCUGGGUUUCCUGAACCAACAAAUAAUACUCCAAAAGGAAUUCUUCAUUUGUCUCCUGAUGUUUAUCAAGAGAUGGAAGCCAGCCACCACAAAGUAACCUCUGGCACUACUCUAGGCUAUUUGUCACCCAGAGAUAUGAACCAACCUUCAAGCUCUUUGUUCAGUAUGUAUCCCACAUCAAAUAGUUCAGCUACAAUGGCCAGGGAACUCCUUAUGAAUGGAACAUCUUCUACAGCUGAAGCCACAGGUUUAAAAGGAAGUUCUCCUACUCCCCCUUGUUCUCCAGUACAACCUUCAAAACAACUGGAAUAUUUAGCAAGGAUUCAAGGCUUUCAGGUAUG
RNAcentral lists this long non-coding RNA (622 nucleotides) under Homo sapiens (human). RNAcentral describes it as "non-protein coding lnc-NAP1L3-15:1". The record is from RNAcentral. Lineage: Eukaryota; Metazoa; Chordata; Mammalia; Primates; Hominidae.